RNAcentral lists this ribosomal RNA (429 nucleotides) under Actinomycetes bacterium. Its description in RNAcentral is "Actinobacteria bacterium partial 16S ribosomal RNA". It matches the Rfam family "Bacterial small subunit ribosomal RNA", at positions 355 to 776 of the family's 1533-position model. Lineage: Bacteria; Bacillati; Actinomycetota; Actinomycetes. The record is from RNAcentral.
UAGGGAAUCUUCCGCAAUGGGCGAAAGCUUGACGGAGCAACGCCGCGUGAGUGAUGAAGGUCUUCGGAUCGUAAAACUCUGUUAUUAGGGAAGAACAAAUGUGUAAGUAACUAUGCACGUCUUGACGGUACCUAAUCAGAAAGCCACGGCUAACUACGUGCCAGCAGCCGCGGUAAUACGUAGGUGGCAAGCGUUAUCCGGAAUUAUUGGGCGUAAAGCGCGCGUAGGCGGUUUUUUAAGUCUGAUGUGAAAGCCCACGGCUCAACCGUGGAGGGUCAUUGGAAACUGGAAAACUUGAGUGCAGAAGAGGAAAGUGGAAUUCCAUGUGUAGCGGUGAAAUGCGCAGAGAUAUGGAGGAACACCAGUGGCGAAGGCGACUUUCUGAUCUGUAACUGACGCUGAUGUGCGAAAGCGUGGGGAUCAAACAGG